AUACGUAGGGGGCGAGCGUUGUCCGGAAUUAUUGGGCGUAAAGGGCGCGCAGGCGGAUAUUUAAGUCCGAUGUGAAAGACCAGGGCUUAACCCUGGUAGUGCAACGGAAACUGGGUAUCUUGAGUACAGGAGAGGAAAGUGGAAUUCCACGUGUAGCGGUGAAAUGCGUAGAUAUGUGGAGGAACACCAGUGGCGAAGGCGACUUUCUGGACUGUAACUGACGCUGAGGCGCGAAAGCGUGGGGAGCAAACAGGAUUAGAUACCCUGGUAGUCCACGCCGUAAACGAUGAGUGCUAGGUGUAGAGGGUAUCGACCCCUUCCGUGCCGCAGUUAACACAAUAAGCACUCCGCCUGGGGAGUACGGCCGCAAGGUUGAA
This 377-nucleotide ribosomal RNA is filed under the name uncultured bacterium. Its description in RNAcentral is "bacterial SSU rRNA". It matches the Rfam family "Bacterial small subunit ribosomal RNA", at positions 523 to 898 of the family's 1533-position model. The record is from RNAcentral.